RNAcentral lists this ribosomal RNA (253 nucleotides) under uncultured bacterium. RNAcentral's name for it is "partial 16S ribosomal RNA". It matches the Rfam family "Bacterial small subunit ribosomal RNA", at positions 524 to 776 of the family's 1533-position model. The record is from RNAcentral.
UACGUAGGCAGCAAGCGUUGUUCGGAAUUACUGGGCGUAAAGCGCGUGUAGGCGGUUCGAUAAGUUUGGUGUGAAAUCUCCCGGCUCAACUGGGAGGGUGCGCCGAAGACUGUCGAGCUAGAGUGUGGGAGAGGUAGGCGGAAUUCCUGGUGUAGCGGUGAAAUGCGUAGAUAUCAGGAGGAACACCUGCGGUGUAGACGGCUUACUGGACCACGACUGACGCUGCAACUCGAAAGUGUGGGGAGCAAACAGG